GUGGGGAAUAUUGGACAAUGGGCGAAAGCCUGAUCCAGCCAUGCCGCGUGUGUGAAGAAGGUCUUCGGAUUGUAAAGCACUUUAAGUUGGGAGGAAGGGCAGUAAGUUAAUACCUUGCUGUUUUGACGUUACCAACAGAAUAAGCACCGGCUAACUUCGUGCCAGCAGCCGCGGUAAUACGAAGGGUGCAAGCGUUAAUCGGAAUUACUGGGCGUAAAGCGCGCGUAGGUGGUUCAGCAAGUUGAAGGUGAAAUCCCCGGGCUCAACCUGGGAACUGCCUCCAAAACUACUGAGCUAGAGUACGGUAGAGGGUAGUGGGAUUUCCUGUGUAGCGGUGAAAUGCGUAGAUAUAGGAAGGAACACCAGUGGCGAAGGCGACUACCUGGACUGAUACUGACACUGAGGUGCGAAAGCGUGGGGAGCAAACAGGAUUAGAUACCCUAGUAGUCC
This 450-nucleotide ribosomal RNA is filed under the name uncultured bacterium. RNAcentral describes it as "partial 16S ribosomal RNA". It matches the Rfam family "Bacterial small subunit ribosomal RNA", at positions 354 to 796 of the family's 1533-position model. The record is from RNAcentral.